GUAAGCUCGGCACCAUCACCCUUGUAUGAAGGCCUGUUAGGAAGGUAGAAGUGCUGGGAGUAAUCUCUCUUUUAAGGCAGGACUACAAACGAGUUUCUGUCUGCUUUGCUCAACUCAUCUGUGGCAUCAUUGAUGACUUCAUGAGAUGCUUGGAACUACAAGGGCUGUUUAUCUCCCUGGCGUCCUGCAGGUGAGGAACACUCAAUGGUUACCUUAGUCAUGGCCAGAAGGUCUUCCACUGUCACCUGAGCAGUUGCUGGAUAGCACGGGAGCAGUCACUCAGCCACACUUGGCAAGACACUGGACCAACAUAGAAACAUAGAAUCAUUUCUGUUGGAAGAGACACUCAGGAUCAUCUAGCACUGAACCACGUCCCUAAAAACCUUGUCUAAAAGGCUUUUAAACACCUCCAGGGAUGGCAAUUCCACCACUUCCCUGGGCAGCCUGUUCCAAUGCCUGACAAACCUUUCCAUGAAGAAUUUUUUCCUAAUAUCCAAUCUAAACCUCCCCUGCUGCAACUUGAGGCCAUUUCCUAUUGUCCAAUCACUUGCUACUUGGGAGAACAGACCAACAUCCUAUGUACUACAACCUCCUUUCAGAUAGUUGCAGACAGCAAUAAGGGGAUUGACUUCCACAUCAGAACUUUCUCAUCUGGCACAUGUACUACCCAACAUUUUCAACAGAAAGGGAGAACAGAUGGAGAAAGAACAGGAAAUGAAGCCUUGGUGAAACUGCAACAGCCACCACAUGUUCUCUCACUUCCCUGAGAGACUUGGAAGGAGCAAACCAAGAGGGACAACUGGCAGAAUAGUCUCCACAAAGUCUUUUCUGAUGUCUUGAUGUACAGUGAAGUUGCUGCUUUCCAUGAAAGUAACAAACUGCCGCUGUAUCAUCUCUUGGUUCCAGUCCUGCUUUCUGCAACUUGUUCACACUGCAGACAGCCAAGUUCUACAGUCCUUGACAGCUCUGCCCAAAGACCAGUAUUUCCUUCAUUUGCCCACUGCAGCACAAGGACUCCUUUCCUCUUGCAGCCUCUGGCAUCCUAGGCUUAAGGGAGUGAAUGUUUCCCUCAGAAACAUUGGUGGAAACUUAACCUGGUGAAUGAAAAAAAGCUGCAAGGUGGGAAAAAAAAGGUGGGGGCAGGGAAAGGGAAAGCAAGCUCAGAUUUCGUCUUGGUGCUGGGAGCAAACACGUACAGCUAUUUACAGAGAUUUCAGCCAUGGGAAUAAGGGGAGGUAGCCAGGAUUGCUGUCAGGUCUCUAGGCUCAGCAGGUCUGUGCUUGGCCAUGAAGUGCUCUUUGUCUCCUGCCAUCAGAUCACCAGGGGACUGGCUGGAGGGCACCUGGCUGGCACAUGGAAAAUGGACACAGAGAUAUCCAUGUAGCAUAUGAUCUAAAGAGCUGCAAAUAGCUUCUGGGUGCUCGGAGCUGCCUAUACCAAUUCUCCAGCGCUCACCUCUCAUGCCUCCCAGCCUGGCCACAGAGCUGGCUGGCUUCAGGGACGCAGCGGAGCUCGGCUGCCUGCCGCGUUUGGCUGCCUCACUCUUCCUGCUCCCGCACACUGGCAGUUUGCAGCACCUCUUUGAAACCUGCCAGCCUCCUUUCCUGCUUCCCUCUUUACACUGGAUCACAUUCACCAUCCUCUUGGCUCUGAUGUGCAGUCUUGUCACAGACAGUUUGGAUUCACCCACAGGUGAUGAGACUCCAAGCACAGGGAAAUGAAAACGAACUCUGUUCCCUUCACUUGCAGAGUGGCAGGAGCUUCUCUUCCUGAAUUUUAAGAUAAUUUCUCAGCCUCUCUCUCCUAGCAUGUCUCCACCUUCCUGCUCAUGGUGUAAGGAUCUCUCUGACUUAACAGGGGAAAGGAAAUUUCAGCUUCACUUGGCAUCCAGGAGAAGGACACAUAGUGGGGAAGGAGAAGAUUGUGUGCUUAUGAUGGCAGAAGCUGUGUCUGUAGGACCUGGGUUGAAUAUGGAGGGCAGGAGGACACAGGACAAAAUCUGCAAGAAGGACUCUGUUCAGGGGAAAAUGCCAGCUGAGCCUGGGAGCUGUGCUGCACAAGAGCAGUGGCUGAUUGCUCUGGCUUUCUUGUGCUGGAUGUGAUGAUCCUGUUCCAGCUCAGCAAAGGUGUUUCUUCAUCUAAGCAAAGGGAAGUUCAGCCAAGUGGGCUUGGAUGCUGGAAAAGCCAGAGCCAGUGAGGCACUGCAGGCCAGGAAUAAGAGCAAGGCAAAGCCCACAUGUGGGACCUCCACCUCCACCAGGUGUUAUUUGCCAUUUAGUGGGGCCACCUCAAAGCUCUUGGCUCACCAUCAGUUAUUGUAUUUCAGAUGUAAGAUUUGAGGCCAGAGUGAUCUGGCACAUCAAGAAAAGAUCUAAGCCCUGUGACCCUUCAGGUGGAAGAGAAAGUGCAUGGGUUAGAGGGGAAAACAUCUGCUGACCCUGAACCUGGGGCACUGGGAGGUGAAGAGAGUCCAAAGGGUCUGGUGGAAAAAAACCUGGGGAAGGGCCAAGGCAGGCACAGCGCAAGAACCAUGCAGGAAAUGUGUUUACACAUUGGGGGUAUUUUUAAAUCCAUCACUCAGUGCCGUAAAACCAAACCUCCCACGAUGCUUUUGUUGGGGAGUGGGCACAGUGACAACAGCAGAAAGCAUACAUGGAAGCAGCAAAGUUCACAGGCAUCUUCACCCCGAUUUUACAGACCUGGGAGCAGACGCACUUCUGCUGCUAUGCCUGUUAUCUAUAGAAAAGAUGAACUCUGAUCUGAGCAAUGCUUUCGGAAGAAGCUGAGAGAUGCCAUGUGCAGGAAAAUCUGCUUCAGCCUCCCCUUCGGAGCAGAUCACAGGUGGAGUUCUCCUGAGCUGUUCCACUGCUUUAUUUCCCACCAUGACUCUCCGCCGCUCUCUGAGGGUAUGUUUAGAAGAUAGCGCCUUACUUUGCAGCAUUGCUUAUACUUGCUCAUUCAGUGUAAAUAACUGUAUUAACUUUAUAGGCAGCCCCAGUUUGAACUGACUGAGAUUCAUGUAGCAAACUGGAACUGUGCCAGGCCCACCAGAGCAGAGUCCUGUUGGUGCGAGGUGGAGCCUGAACAGCUCUCAGGAUGGGAGGUCUUUCCAAACGAAUGUGAUCCCUCCUUGUUCUUACAGAUUAGUUUUAACACUGACACAAUGGCUGCCAAAAACUGAAUCUGCCAGAAAUGUUAACAAAAGGCACUUUGAUCUCAUUCACUUGUUCUUGUUAAGAAUGUAUUGUACUAUUUUGCCUCCUUUGCGGUCAGAAGAAAAAUGUUUUACCCUUGCAUAUCACUCAUGUUUAAUACUCUAUGUGCUGUGUUACACAGGGCUUCUGCUUUUUGCUGCUACUUGCUUUCAGGCUGCUUACUUUAACAGUUGUUGCAUGCUAUACAUUUGCUUAAAUACCAUAGGGAGUUUUUCUAUUUGUUAUAUAAAAGACUGAGAUAUGUCCUUGUCUAAACAACUGAAGAAUUUGAUUUUUAUUAUAUGUGUAAGAACUACUUACAAGUCAGUUUAAACUUUCAUGCUAGUUCUUAAACCCUUGGCUUAGUACUUAAUACGGUUCACAUAUCUGUUCUUGGCACAAGGUUUACAUUUUUCUAACCACAUAUUUACAGUAAAAAGCAGCUAAUAUUCACUAAUAAAAUGAUACAUUGACAAUUAUCUAGCAACAGUAUUUCUUGCAAUGCAUCAACCUCACAGUGUACUGUAAAAAAUAAAGUAUACAAGUCAAACAGUGUAAUUCUCAUCUUCAAACACGAUUGAAG
Molecule: long non-coding RNA, 3777 nt
Organism: Columba livia (rock pigeon)
Lineage: Eukaryota; Metazoa; Chordata; Aves; Columbiformes; Columbidae
Exons: 3
Source: RefSeq, a predicted model, not a curated record